RNAcentral lists this ribosomal RNA (469 nucleotides) under uncultured Alphaproteobacteria bacterium. RNAcentral's name for it is "bacterial SSU rRNA". It matches the Rfam family "Bacterial small subunit ribosomal RNA", at positions 9 to 524 of the family's 1533-position model. The record is from RNAcentral. Lineage: Bacteria; Pseudomonadati; Pseudomonadota; Alphaproteobacteria.
GAGUUUGAUCAUGGCUCAGGACGAACGCUGGCGGCAUGCCUAACACAUGCAAGUCGAACGAAGGCUUCGGCCUUAGUGGCGCACGGGUGCGUAACGCGUGGGAAUCUGCCCUUUGCUUCGGAAUAACAGUGGGAAACUACUGCUAAUACCGGAUGAUGUCUUCGGACCAAAGAUUUAUCGGCAAGGGAUGAGCCCGCGUAGGAUUAGGUAGUUGGUGGGGUAAAGGCCUACCAAGCCGACGAUCCUUAGCUGGUCUGAGAGGAUGAUCAGCCACACUGGGACUGAGACACGGCCCAGACUCCUACGGGAGGCAGCAGUGGGGAAUAUUGGACAAUGGGGGGAACCCUGAUCCAGCAAUGCCGCGUGAGUGAUGAAGGCCUUAGGGUUGUAAAGCUCUUUUACCAGGGAUGAUAAUGACAGUACCUGGAGAAUAAGCUCCGGCUAACUCCGUGCCAGCCGCCGCGGUAAU